CUCAGAAAUUACAGAAAGUAACGUCUGCCCAGUGACCGAUAGGUUUAACGGCCGCGUAUUAGUGCUAAGGUAGCAUAAUAAUUUGCCUUUUCAUUGAAGGCUAGUAUGAACGGCAUAACGAAGCUUAGCUGUCUCUACUUAAUAUAAAAAAAUUGAUUAACAAGUGAAAAAGCUUUUAUACUAUUGAAGGACGAAAAGACCCUAUAGAGCUUUAAUACAAUAAAUAAACAAAUUUUUAAAUUUAAAAAAUCCUUAAUUUAAGUAUUUUUAUUGGGGCAAUAGAAAAAAAAUUUUAACAUACACAUUUGCAAUAACAAACAAAAAAAAAACCCUCAAAGAGAACAAAUACAAGCUACCUUAGGGAUAACAGCGUAAUCUUUCCAGAGAGACCUGAUCGAAGGAAAGGUUUGCGACCUCGAUGUUGGACUAAGAAAACCCAAAGGUGCAGAAGCCUUUUAAAGCUGGCCUGUUCGGCCAUUAA
This 481-nucleotide ribosomal RNA is filed under the name Discoporella sp. 8-MMHD-2002. RNAcentral describes it as "partial 16S ribosomal RNA". It matches the Rfam family "Bacterial large subunit ribosomal RNA", at positions 1835 to 2591 of the family's 2925-position model. The record is from RNAcentral. Lineage: Eukaryota; Metazoa; Bryozoa; Gymnolaemata; Cheilostomatida; Cupuladriidae.